Molecule: ribosomal RNA, 501 nt
Filed under: uncultured bacterium
Lineage: Bacteria
Description: partial 16S ribosomal RNA
Rfam family: Bacterial small subunit ribosomal RNA
Source: RNAcentral
AUUGAACGCUGGCGGCAGGCUUAACACAUGCAAGUCGAGCGGGGGAAGGUAGCUUGCUACCGGACCUAGCGGCGGACGGGUGAGUAAUGCUUAGGAAUCUGCCUAUUAGUGGGGGACAACAUCUCGAAAGGGAUGCUAAUACCGCAUACGUCCUACGGGAGAAAGCAGGGGAUCUUCGGACCUUGCGCUAAUAGAUGAGCCUAAGUCGGAUUAGCUAGUUGGUGGGGUAAAGGCCUACCAAGGCGACGAUCUGUAGCGGGUCUGAGAGGAUGAUCCGCCACACUGGGACUGAGGCACGGCCCAGACUCCUACGGGAGGCAGCAGUGGGGAAUAUUGGACAAUGGGGGGAACCCUGAUCCAGCCAUGCCGCGUGUGUGAAGAAGGCCUUAUGGUUGUAAAGCACUUUAAGCGAGGAGGAGGCUACUCUAGUUAAUACCUAGGGAUAGUGGACGUUACUCGCAGAAUGAGCACCGGCUAACUCUGUGCCAGCCGCCGCGGUAA